Rhodamnia argentea is the source of this 1176-nucleotide long non-coding RNA. RefSeq lists it as uncharacterized. The transcript is spliced from 2 exons. The record is from RefSeq and is a predicted model, not a curated record. NCBI's taxonomy places the organism in Eukaryota, Viridiplantae, Streptophyta, Magnoliopsida, Myrtales, Myrtaceae.
UUCUCAAGUUAUUCCCUCUGUUUUCCCUUUGUUUGGGUCCUUUUACCUCGUGACACACUCGGGAAUCUUCAUUUCGAGCACAGCAAGUAAUCGUCAACUCCCCUGUUUACGUUGAUAAUAAAACGCAUCAACAACAUUCUUCUCCACUAUGAAAAGCUUGGAGCUCUGCUUUUUCCAUUUUUCACGGACAGGACAAUCAAAUGUUUGUUGUGUCCCCUUAGUUCAUCUCUGCCUAUUUGCCUUCAAUGCCUGGGAUCAUCAAAUGCCAAAUUCUCUUUGCCAAUCCUUGUAAGUGUCGUUUGUAAAGUCGUUCCAACUACUACUUACAGUGGCGGUUUAUUAGCAUUCGGAUAUAUUCACCAUAUCUUCAAUCCUAUUCCAAUAUUCAUUUCAUCGUAAUAAUGUCUAACUCUCGGGAUGAAUCUGUGGCUGAUGACAUGAAAGAUUUGUUAUCUAAAGUGGUAUCCUUGGCGAGUUAGAGCGCCUUGUGCAAGAAUACUGUGAGUGUAUUGGAGCCCAAAUCAUCCUCGAAACACCGAAAGCAAGAGAAGGCGGUUCAACCUCUAAUAAUCUCUAAAGAUCUUGAGCUGGCAAAAGAAAGAUCAGUCAAGAACCAUCUUAUGAAGAACCUUCAGCUUAGUUAUCACAACAUAGGGAGUCCUCGGUUGAAGCUAGGCUUUCUUUCUCUUGCGAUUUUCCCUGGGAAUUCCAUCAUAAAGAAGAGAAGCUUAAUAUAUUGGUGGAUAGGGGAGGGUUUAGUUUCCAAAAGUAGAGACAAGACGGCGGAGCAAGUAGGCGAAGAAGUCUAUGAUAAGCUCAUAAAACAAGGCCUAAUUGAGCCCAACGAUAACGAUCCAAGCCCUCUCAUGAAUAGAUGUAAAGUACAUCCCGCAUCCGUUAUAUGCUUAUCUCGUUGGCGCAAGAAGCGGGUUUCUUCUAUUUCAAUUCGAAGGAUGAAACGUCUCUUGAGGUUCUCCAAAAGUGCUCCUUUAGCAGCAGCCGCCCGCACUUAUUAGGUGAAGCAAACAGUCCGCCAUAUAGAGAGGAGGCUAAAGAUGAAGAUGUGUCCACGGUGUUCAAUGUUAAUCAGCAACACCUUAGUCUACGUCGCCAAUGGCUUUUGAAGAUGAAAAAAUUGGCGGUUCCUCAACUAGGGCGGUGGCUGCACUCACCAAC